CAAAUAUAUCUGAUAGGUGAAUGGAUAAACAAACUACUACAUCAAAUAUGUAUACUACUCUCUAAUAUAAACAACUUUCAUCUGGUUAGAUACAUGGUGGUAAAACAAAUAAUAAAACAACUAUUCAUCAACUCAUAUAAACCUUAGGAGUAAUUUGCUGAGUGACAAAAAUGCCAAAAGCUUACAUACUCUCUAUCAAUAAAAAUUCAUAACUUAUUUAUAUAAAAUUUAUAAAAACCAUUUACAAAAACAAUUUUAUUUUUAUCACAUUCAUGAAAUGAUGAAAUUAUACUGAUAGGAGAAAAGUGGUUGGCAGAGUUAGGUUUGGAUGGAGUGUAAGCAUAAAAAGGUAGCAUGAGGGACUUUGUGUUCAUUAGUUUUAUGUGGUUGCAGUGGUUACACGAAUCUGUACAUGUAAUACAACUUCUUAGAGUACAAACUAAAAAAGAAAAAAACAUGUAAAAAUUAGUCAAAUCCAAAAUAAGAUUAGUUUACUUUAUAGUAUCCUACCAAUGUUGUUUUUCUGGUUUUGAUAAUUAUGGUUAUAUAGGACAUUUUUACUAGAAAUUGGUUGAAGGAUACUAGCAAAGCCUCUAGACUGGUUUUGCAAUUUCUUUUGAGUUCAAAUUUAUUUAAGUUGAAGGUGGUUUUAUAAACUGAUCAUCUCUAUAAUCUUAGUUAAGCAAGUCCAAAUAUGUUGUUAUGUUAAUAUAUUUAACAUAUUCAGUUUCUUUUCUACUUAAGUUUGCUUAAUGUACAAUUAAGCUCAGAGCCAAAGAAAGGAAAAGAGCUAAUCAUAAUAUGGGGUGGUUGUUCUGGAGUAUUUUCUGACACAAAUAAAUUCUCUAAUUCUCCCACACCAAUUGGGUGUUCUACAAUUCAAUUCUGAACAACUGGGUGUUCUACAAUUCAAUUCUGAACAACUGGGUGUUCUACAAUUCAAUUCUGACACUAACUUCUCCAAGUUAGUGCAGACUCCACAAGUUAGUGCAGUCCAAGUUAGUUAGUGCAGUCUAAAUUAGUGCAGACUCCACAAGUUAGUGCAGUCCAAGUUAGUUAGUGCAGUCUAAAUUAGUGCAGACUCCACAAGUUAAGGGGCUCAGUCCAAGACUUCCCCCACAUCAGAUGCCACUCACAAGGACAACCUGCAGUUCUGAAUGGUGAUAAAUUCCGAGUUCCCACUACCCUACUCAGGUUUGAUAAUUUGCUACAGGGCUCACAAAACGCAAGAAAACAGCGUACUUUGUUUUACUGGUUAUAAAGGACACAAAUGAACACUCAAAUGAAGAGGUACAUAGAGUAAAGCCUAAAAAGGGUUCUCCUAAUCUCAGGAGCCUCUAUCCCUAUGAAGUUGGGGGUGCACCACCCUCCUGGGCUAUUUGGAGUUCUCUUAAUCUCAUUGUCUAAUCUAAUUUCCAGCACCCCUCCCCUUCCAGGAGGUGGGAGAAAUGGGGCACAAAGUUUCCAUCCUCUAGUUACUUGAUCUUCCUAGAGAACAGCCCCAUUCUGAGGCUGUCUAGGGGAGCAACCAUAAGUCACUUCAGUAGUAUAAUCAGGUGUAAUUAAAAGGGCAGUGCUAUGAAUAACAACAACAGCAAAAACAAAACAAAACCAAAAAACUCUUAUCACUCAUGAAGUUCUAAGCGUUUUAGGAGCUCUAUGCCAGGAACCAGGAACAGAGACCAAAUGUAUUUCUCAUUACACCACAAUUUUACACAACAGUAAAAAUAAACAGUAAUGAGACAGUAUAUUAUGGAAUCAUUGGCAAGGCAACUAGAAAUGAGGAUUAAGGUAUCCUGUCUGAAAAUGCACACCAGGUGUAUUAGCUGAUGUUUAAGGUUAUACUUAUUAAGAAAAAGCACUCAAAUAUUCAUCAUUUUCACCACAUUUCAUGCCUUUAUGAGCUGUUGAUAGUUUGCUAAAGGUGUUCCACAUUUAUUUGAUAGCAUGUUCGGAACAAUUUUACUUUCUAUGUGAUCUCCUGACAAAUGAUGAAGCAGAGUGCGUCGCUGAAAUCCUGCCAUCAAUACUGUCACCUUAAAGUUAUUUUCCAGUGUAAACUUUGACACUCACUGAGGUCAUAUUUCUGAGUAAAGACUUUGUCAUGGUCAUCAUGUUUCUAUCAACAAUAAGCUCACUUACGUUGAAAUCUAUGAUGAAACCUGAUAAUAAAGUCUAUCUUUCCACAGAAGACUUUUCUUAGUCUUUGUAUUCACAGAAUUUAUCUCUGUAUACUUUUCAGACAUAUGAGCAGAAAUUAUUGCUCAAAACAUCUCCACAUUAAUAUAGUUUAUUCAACGUGUUUUCAUUGACAGAAAAUAUGAGGUAAAAGACCACUAAAGGCACUACCUUAUUUACUGUAUUCAUCAAAUUGAUCUCUAGGGCAAAUCAUUUCACCUCCUGAGGACAGACACACAUCUGUCAACAGGCAGCACCAUGUUUAUGUUCCAAUUGGCUAGAAACACACUGAUGUUUAAUGAAGUCUAAGUUGCCACAAAAGGCAUUUCCAUAGUCACGGCACUAGUAGGGUUUUCUUCUGCAUGAGUUCACUUAUAAGGAAGGAGCUGUGACUCUCCAUUACAGGAGUUUUCAACUUGACUGAUUCUACCCAUUUCUCUUGUGUGCAUCUUCUUAUGUUUGACAAGGUUUGAUAAGUGGGAGAAGGCUUUCUCACAAUCACUGCAUCCAUACGGCCUCUCUCCUGUAUGCGUUCUUUGAUGUACAUUGAGUACUGACUUUGUGGUGAAGGCUUUUCCACAUUCAUUGCACUCAUAAGGUUUCUCUCCUGUGUGAAUUCUCUGAUGGGUAAUGAGGCCAUAUUUGUGUGAAUAGGAUUUUCCGCACUCGGUACAUACAAAGGGAGUCUUUCCUGUAUGACAUCUCUCAUGUUGUAUGAGGCAUAUUUUCUGGCUGAAGGCUUUACCACAUUCAUUGCAUUCAUAGGGUUUUUCUCCUGUAUGAGUUCGCUGAUGUAUAAUAAGAGUGCGCUUUGUGGUGAAGCCUUUACCACAUUCAUUGCAUAUGUAAGAUUUCUCUCCUGUAUGAGUUCGCUGAUGUAUAAUGAGAGUGCGUUUGACAGUGAAGCCUUUUCCACAUUCGCUGCAUAUGUAAGAUUUUUCUCCUGUAUGGGAGCGCUGAUGUACAAUGAGAUUGCUCUUCACGGUAAAGCCUUUUCCACAUUCACUGCACAUAUAGGGUUUCUCUCCAGUAUGAGUUCGCUGAUGUACAACAAGAUAGCGCUUCAUGGUGAAGCCUUUUCCACAUUCACUACAUAUACAAGAUUUCUCUUCUGUAUGAAUUUGCUGAUGUACAAUGAGAUAGCGUUUCAUGGUGAAGCCUUUUCCACAUUCACUGCACAUAAAGGGUUUCUCUCCAGUAUGAGUUCGCUGGUGUACAACAAGAUUGCUCUUAAAGGCAAAACCUUUUCCACAUUCAUUGCAUAUGUACGGUUUCUCUCCAGUAUGAGUUCGCUGAUGUAACAUCAGUCCGCUAUUCACAAUGAAACCUUUCCCACAUUCACUGCACCUGUAAGGUUUCUCUCCAGUAUGAGUUCGCUGAUGUACAAUCAGCCGACUCUUCAAGGGGAAGCCUUUCCCACAUUCACUGCAUGUGUAGGGCUUCUCUCCAGUAUGAGUUCGCUGAUGUAUGAUGAGCAUGCUUUUCACAGUAAAACCUUUUCCACAUUCACUACAUAGAUAUGACUUCUCUACUGUAUGAUUUCUCUGAUGUACAAUAAGAUUACUCUUCCUGGGAAAGCCUUUUCCACAUUCAUUGCAUAUGUAGGGUUUCUCUCCUGUAUGAGUUCGUUGAUGUUCGAUCAUACGGCUCUUCAUGGUGAAGCCUUUCCCACAUUCAUUGCAUAUAUACGGUUUCUCUCCUGUAUGAUUUCGUUGAUGUAUGAUGACAUAGUGUUUUGUGGUGAAGCCUUUCCCACAUUCACUACAGAUGUAGGGCUUCUCUCCUGUAUGAGUUCGCUGAUGUAUAAUAAGCAUGCUCUUCCCAGUGAAGCCUUUUCCACAUUCACUACAUAUAUAGGAUUUCUCUCCAGUAUGAUUUCGCUGAUGUACAAUGAGAUUACGCUUGCCUGGGAAGCCUUUUCCACAUUCAUUGCAUAUGUAGGGUUUCUCUCCAGUAUGAGUUCGCUGAUGUUCAAUCAGACGGCUCUUCAUGGUGAAGACUUUUCCACAUUCACUGCAUAUAAAAGAUUUCUCUCUUUUAUGAAUUCUUUGAUGUUCAUUUAGCCUCGACUUUCUGGAGAACACUUUUGCACACAAAGUACAUCCAUAAGGUUUUUCUCCUGUAUGAACUCUCUCAUGAUCAGUGAGCUGAGACUUCUUGACAAACGCUUUCCCACAUUCACUGCACAUGUGGUUUUUUUCUAUUUCAUGAGUUCUCUGAUGCUUACUGACUUGGGAUUUAGUGCUAUUGGCUUUUGUACUUACAGAGAAUUUAGCUGCAGAAUAAAGUUCUUCAUAGUUACCAUGAAGAAAUGAUUUCCCAUCUCCACUAAAUUUAGUAGAGUUGUUAAUUUCACAGCUUUUGUUCUGGUUGACUAAACUUAAAUUUGAUUUCAAAGUUUUUAUAUAUAACUCAAAUGUAUCAUGAUUUUCCCUGAAAAGACAAAGGCUUUUGGUUUGAGAGGCAGUAUUUCCAAAUGCAUUAUGUUCAUGGUAUUGUUCCACACUCUUCAGCAUCCUUUGAUUUUCCAAGUGAUCCUGCAGAUGAUCAUCAACUUUGUUGUUUUCUAGGAAAGAAGAGAACAAUAAAUCCUUUUAUAAUCUUGUUGGGGAUAAAACUGUUUUCUUAGAGAAAAAAAUCCUUGGUGUUUUAUUUUGUUUAUUAUUAUUAUUUUU
RNAcentral lists this long non-coding RNA (4853 nucleotides) under Pan troglodytes (chimpanzee). Its description in RNAcentral is "long non-coding RNA NONPTRT008206". The record is from RNAcentral. Lineage: Eukaryota; Metazoa; Chordata; Mammalia; Primates; Hominidae.